AGAGUUUGAUCAUGGCUCGAGACGAACGCUGGCGGCGUGCUUAACACAUGCAAGUCGAACGGAACCUUCGGGUUUAGUGGCGAACGGGUGAGUAAAGCGCAGGUAAUCUGCCGCAAAGUCGGGGACAACGUCCCGAAAGGGACGCUAAUACCGGAUGUUGUGCGGAGUUCGCAUGGAUUCUGUACUAAAGAUUUAUCGCUUUGCGAGGAGCCUGCGUCCGAUUAGGUAGUUGGUGUGAUAAAAGCGCACCAAGCCGACGAUCGGUAGCCGGUCUGAGAGGAUGAACGGCCACAAUGGAACUGAGACACGGUCCAAACUCC
RNAcentral lists this ribosomal RNA (320 nucleotides) under uncultured Veillonellaceae bacterium. RNAcentral's name for it is "bacterial SSU rRNA". It matches the Rfam family "Bacterial small subunit ribosomal RNA", at positions 8 to 339 of the family's 1533-position model. The record is from RNAcentral. Lineage: Bacteria; Bacillati; Bacillota; Negativicutes; Veillonellales; Veillonellaceae.